UGCAAGCGCACUCUGUGUCACAUUGACGCCUUCAUGUGAUGACAAUUUGUAAGUUUGCUAUAACAAACUGAUGUUGUGAUUUAUCCAUGUGAUUAUGUACUCAAAAUGAUUGCAUUGUAUUAAGCAGCUCACAGCUGU
Molecule: small nucleolar RNA, 138 nt
Organism: Drosophila nasuta
Lineage: Eukaryota; Metazoa; Arthropoda; Insecta; Diptera; Drosophilidae
Product: small nucleolar RNA psi18S-841/snoR66
Exons: 1
Source: RefSeq, a predicted model, not a curated record